GAUGAACGCUAGCUACAGGCUUAACACAUGCAAGUCGAGGGGUAACGAGAGGAAAGCUUGCUUUCCUUGUCGACGACCGGCGCACGGGUGAGUAACGCGUAUCCAACCUGCCCCCAACUAGGGAAUAACCUUGCGAAAGUAAGACUAAUACCCUAUAAUUUCCUCAGAUGUCAUCUGACGAGGAAUAAAGAUUUAUCGGUUGUGGAUGGGGAUGCGUCUGAUUAGCUUGUUGGCGGGGUAACGGCCCACCAAGGCAACGAUCAGUAGGGGUUCUAGGAGGAAGGUCCCCCACAUUGGAACUGAGACACGGUCCAAACUCCUACGGGAGGCAGCAGUGAGGAAUAUUGGUCAAUGGGCGGAAGCCUGAACCAGCCAAGUAGCGUGCAGGAUGACGGCCCUAUGGGUUGUAAACUGCUUUUAUACAGGAAUAAAGUUAGCCACGUGUGGUUAUUUGUAGGUACUGUAUGAAUAAGGACCGGUUAAUUCCGUGCCAGCCGCCGCCGUAA
RNAcentral lists this ribosomal RNA (506 nucleotides) under uncultured bacterium. RNAcentral's name for it is "partial 16S ribosomal RNA". It matches the Rfam family "Bacterial small subunit ribosomal RNA", at positions 28 to 523 of the family's 1533-position model. The record is from RNAcentral.